CUCUGUAUAGCUCAGUUUGGUAGAGCGCGUGCCUUGGGAGCAUGAGGUCGGGGGUUCAAGUCCCUCUACAGAGACCA
Molecule: transfer RNA, 77 nt
Filed under: Clostridiales bacterium
Lineage: Bacteria; Bacillati; Bacillota; Clostridia; Eubacteriales
Description: tRNA-Pro
Rfam family: tRNA
About the family: Transfer RNA (tRNA) molecules are approximately 80 nucleotides in length. Their secondary structure includes four short double-helical elements and three loops (D, anti-codon, and T loops).
Source: RNAcentral